GAAAGUUCACACAGUGNCGGUAGCUUACCAGAAAGGGACGGCUAACUACGUGCCAGCAGCCGCGGUAAUACGUAGGUCCCGAGCGUUNUCCGGAUUUAUUGGGCGUAAAGGGAGCGCAGGCGGUCAGGAAAGUCUGGAGUAAAAGGCUAUGGCUCAACCAUAGUGUGCUCUGGAAACUNUCUGACUUGAGUGCAGAAGGGGAGAGUGGAAUUCCAUGUGUAGCGGUGAAAUGCGUAGAUAUAUGGAGGAACACCAGAGGCGAAAGCGGCUCUCUGGUCUGUCACUGACGCUGAGGCUCGAAAGCGUGGGUAGCGAACAGGAUUAGAUACCCUGGUAGUCCACGCCGUAAACGAUGAGUGCUAGGUGUUAGGCCCUUUCCGGGGCUUAGUGCCGGAGCUAACGCAAUAAGCACUCCGCCUGGAGAGUACGACCGCAAGGUUGAAACUCAAAGGAAUUGGCGGGGGCCCGCACAAGCGGUGGAGCAUGUGGUUUAAUUCGAAGCAACGCGAAGAACCUUACCAGGUCUUGACAUCCCGAUGCUAUUCUUAGAGAUAGGAAGUUACUUCGGUACAUCGGAGACAGGUGGUGCAUGGUUGUCGUCAGCUCGUGUCGUGAGAUGUUGGGUUAAGUCCCGCAACGAGCGCAACCCUUAUUGUUAGUUGCCAUCAUUAAGUUGGGCACUCUAGCGAGACUGCCGGUAAUAAACCGGAGGAAGGUGGGGAUGACGUCAAAUCAUCAUGCCCCUUAUGACCUGGGCUACACACGUGCUACAAUGGUCGGUACAACGAGUUGCGAGCCGGUGACGGCAAGCUAAUCUCUGAAAGCCGGUCUCAGUUCGGAUUGGAGGCUGCAACUCGCCUCCAUGAAGUCGGAAUCGCUAGUAAUCGCGGAUCAGCACGCCGCGGUGAAUACGUUCCCGGGCCUUGUACACACCGCCCGUCACACCACGAGAGUUUGUAACACCCGAAGUC
RNAcentral lists this ribosomal RNA (971 nucleotides) under uncultured bacterium. Its description in RNAcentral is "bacterial SSU rRNA". It matches the Rfam family "Bacterial small subunit ribosomal RNA", at positions 456 to 1428 of the family's 1533-position model. The record is from RNAcentral.